RNAcentral lists this ribosomal RNA (465 nucleotides) under uncultured bacterium. RNAcentral describes it as "partial 16S ribosomal RNA". It matches the Rfam family "Bacterial small subunit ribosomal RNA", at positions 28 to 507 of the family's 1533-position model. The record is from RNAcentral.
GACGAACGCUGGCGGCGUGCUUAACACAUGCAAGUCGUACGGUAAGGCCCUUUCGGGGGUACACGAGUGGCGAACGGGGGAGUAACACGUGAGUAACCUGCCCACAACUUUGGGAUAACGCUAGGAAACUGGGGCUAAUACUGGAUAUGUGCUCCUGCUGCAUGGGGGGGGUUGGAAAGCUCCGGCGGGUGUGGAUGGACUCGCGGCCUAUCAGCUUGUUGGUGGGGUAGUGGCCUACCAAGGCGGCGGCGGGUAGCCGGCCUGAGAGGGUGACAGGCCACAUUGGGCCUGAGGGACGGCCCAGACGCCUACUGGAGGAAGCAGUGGGGAAUCUUGACCAAUGGGCGCCAGCCGGAUGCAGCAGCGCCGCGUGCGGGAUGACGGCCUUCGGGUUGUAAACCGCUUUCAGCAGGGACGAAGCUUUUUGUGACGGUACCUGCAGAAGAAGCACCGGCUAACUACGUG